This 526-nucleotide ribosomal RNA is filed under the name Candida tropicalis. RNAcentral describes it as "eukaryotic LSU rRNA". It matches the Rfam family "Eukaryotic large subunit ribosomal RNA", at positions 112 to 654 of the family's 3401-position model. Lineage: Eukaryota; Fungi; Ascomycota; Pichiomycetes; Serinales; Debaryomycetaceae. The record is from RNAcentral.
AAUUUGAAAUCUGGCUCUUUCAGAGUCCGAGUUGUAAUUUGAAGAAGGUAUCUUUGGGUCUGGCUCUUGUCUAUGUUUCUUGGAACAGAACGUCACAGAGGGUGAGAAUCCCGUGCGAUGAGAUGAUCCAGGCCUAUGUAAAGUUCCUUCGAAGAGUCGAGUUGUUUGGGAAUGCAGCUCUAAGUGGGUGGUAAAUUCCAUCUAAAGCUAAAUAUUGGCGAGAGACCGAUAGCGAACAAGUACAGUGAUGGAAAGAUGAAAAGAACUUUGAAAAGAGAGUGAAAAAGUACGUGAAAUUGUUGAAAGGGAAGGGCUUGAGAUCAGACUUGGUAUUUUGUAUGUUACUUCUUCGGGGGUGGCCUCUACAGUUUAUCGGGCCAGCAUCAGUUUGGGCGGUAGGAGAAUUGCGUUGGAAUGUGGCACGACUUCGGUUGUGUGUUAUAGCCUUCGUCGAUACUGCCAGCCUAGACUGAGGACUGCGGUUUAUACCUAGGAUGUUGGCAUAAUGAUCUUAAGUCGCCCGUCU